GAGCGAGGCCAGGUAGCAAUACCUGAGUCGAGCGGCAGACGGGUGAGUAACACGUGGGUGACCUACCUCGAGGUGGGGGAUAACCCGGGGAAACUCGGGCUAAUACCGCAUAACAUCGUGAGAUCAAAGCGGCCCGCAAGGGUCGCGCCGUGAGAGGGGCCCGCGUCUGAUUAGCUAGUUGGUGAGGUAACGGCUCACCAAGGCGACGAUCAGUAGCCGGCCUGAGAGGGCGAUCGGCCACACUGGAACUGAGACACGGUCCAGACUCCUACGGGAGGCAGCAGUGGGGAAUUUUGCGCAAUGGGGGAAACCCUGACGCAGCAACGCCGCGUGGAGGAUGAAGGUCCUUGGAUUGUAAACUCCUGUCAGCAGGGAAGAACUCCUUACGGUGAAUAACCGUAAGGAUUGACGGUACCUGCAGAGGAAGCCCCGGCUAACUCUGUGCCAGCAGCCGCGGUAAUACAGAGGGGGCAAGCGUUAUUCGGAAUUAUUGGGCGUAAAGGGCGCGUAGGCGGCUUCGCAAGUGGUGGGUGAAAUCCCUCGGCUUAACCGAGGAACUGCCCUCCAAACUGCGUUGCUGGAGUCCGGGAGAGGUGAGUGGAAUUCCCAGUGUAGCGGUGAAAUGCGUAGAUAUUGGGAGGAACACCAGUGGCGAAGGCGGCUCACUGGACCGGAACUGACGCUGAGGCGCGAAAGCGUGGGGAGCAAACGGGAUUAGAUACCCCGGUAGUCCACGCCGUAAACGAUGAGUGCUUGGUGUAGCGGGUAUCGACCCCUGCUGUGCCGAAGUCAACACAUUAAGCACUCCGCCUGGGGAGUACGGUCGCAAGGCUGAAACUCAAAUGAAUUGACGGGG
RNAcentral lists this ribosomal RNA (856 nucleotides) under uncultured Acidobacteriota bacterium. RNAcentral's name for it is "bacterial SSU rRNA". It matches the Rfam family "Bacterial small subunit ribosomal RNA", at positions 64 to 918 of the family's 1533-position model. The record is from RNAcentral. Lineage: Bacteria; Pseudomonadati; Acidobacteriota.